This is a long non-coding RNA of Hypanus sabinus (Atlantic stingray), 879 nucleotides long. RefSeq lists it as uncharacterized. Lineage: Eukaryota; Metazoa; Chordata; Chondrichthyes; Myliobatiformes; Dasyatidae. The transcript is spliced from 3 exons. The record is from RefSeq and is a predicted model, not a curated record.
GUUCAAACCGUGACUCAAGGCUGCUGGAAAUCAAUUCAAGGGCUGAAGAGAUCUUUGUAUCCCACAAACUUUUAUACCGAAACCGUGCACACUGGAUUGGGAAAUGCGAAGCCGGGACUGUGGGCUUGGCCCUCCUGUUCAAUGCGUCCCCGGGGACGUCCGACUGUAGAGACUGCGAGCCACACGGAGGGAGUAAUCCUUGUGAUUCUGAUCGGCGUUUCAUCUGCGAGAAGUCGGCUCCUUUGUUCCCGGAUAUUCCUGAAAAGAUCCAGGGUCUCUGCCAAAAGCCAGUGGAGUCGUCAUGAAUCAAGUGACUACUCCCAUUUUCUCCUCCUUCUCUCUCCUUCACGCUCACUCCUAAAUCCUUUCAAAUUUGCUCCCCACCUUCUCUGCCCCUCCCUCCUACUCCAUCUCCUCCUCUUACCGCAAGCACAUUCUCUGCACCAGACACCGACAAAUCCCUCCAGCCAUCUAUGCCCUUCUUUCUCGCCAUUCCUACCAUCCCGCUCUUCCAAGCUACAUCUACCAUUCCCUCUGCCCCUCACCUCCCCAAAUUACAAACUUUCUCCGCCCUCUCUUUCCCUGCAAUCUGUGCACUCUCUCCCCUUUCCUCCCCCAGGAACUCUCUACCUCCCCUCCCCGUUAUCUCUAAACUCUCCGUCUCCCUGAUCCCUCUCUCUCUUUCUGCUUUCCACACACUCUCAUCUCAACCCUGUGCCGUCUGGUGCUCGACAACCCAACCCUGGGUAAAAGGCUAUGCUUAAUCCCUCUGUCUGUGCGCCUCUUGGGUUUAUGGAAAUCUGUAAAUUUACAACUACUCUCCAAGGAAUAAAAUCCCAACUUUCCCUCCCUCCCACCAGAACUCAGUCCUCCGAGUUU